CCGCGAGACUUUGCGAGGGGCCUCCGUGUGCCAAAAAUAGUCCGCGGGCAAAGCCGCGUCCAAAAAUAACUGCCCGAAGGCCGGGGCGCCAAGUUCGUCCAGCGGAAAAGGGCCACAAAAACGGGUGGGCUAUAGCCUUGGGGGGUGGCGCCGGCCAUCUUCGUCCGCCGGACUCGGAAUGCCGCGAGACUUUGCGAGGGGCCUCCGUGUGCCAAAAAUAGGCCGCGGACAAACCCAUGCCCAAAAAUAACUGCCCGAAGGCCGGGGCGCCAAGUUCGUCCAGCGGAAAAAGGCCACAAAAACGGGUGGGCUAUAGCCUUGGGGGGUGGGGCUGGCCAACUUCGUCCGCCGGAAUCGGAAUGCCGCGAGACUUUGCGAGGGGCCUCCGUGUGCCAAAAAUAGUCCGCGGGCAAUGCCGCGCCCAAAAAUAACCGCCCGAAGGCCGGGGCGCCAAGUUCGUCCAGCGAAAAAAGGCCACAAAAACGGGUGGGCUAUAGCCUUGGGGGGUGGAGCUGGCCCACUUCGUCCGCCGGACUCGAACUGCUGCGAGACUUUGCAAGGGGCCUCCGUGUGCCAAAAAUAGGCCGCGGGCAAUGCCGCACCCAAAAAUAACCGCCCGAAUGCCGGGGCGCCAAGUUCGUCCAGCGGAAAAUGGCCACAAAAACGGGUGGGCUAUAGCCUUGGGGGGUGAUGCUGGCCAACUUCGUCCGCCGGACUCAGAAUGCCGCGAGACUUUGCGAGGGGCCUCCGUGUGCCAAAAAUAGCCCGCGGCCAAAGCCGUGCCCAAAAAUAACCGCCCGAAGGCCGGGGCGCAAAGUUCGUCCAGCGGAAAAAGGCCACAAAAACGGGUGGGCUAUAGCCUUGGGGGGUUGGGCUGGCCAACUUCGUCCGCCGGACUCGGAAUGCCGCGAGACUUGGCGAGGGGCCUCCGUGUGCCAAAAAUAGGCUGCGGGCAAAGCCGCGCCCAAAAAUAACCGCACGACGGCCGGGGCGCCAGGUUCGUCCCGAGGAAAAAGGCCACAAAAAUGGGUGGGCUAUAGCCUUGGGGGGUGAUGCUGGCCCACUUCAUCCGCCGGACUCGGAAUGCCGCGAGACUUUGCGAGGGGCCUCCGUGUGCCAAAAAUAGGCCGCGGCAAAUCCAUACCCAAAAAUAACUGCCCGAAGGCCGGGGCGCCAAGUUCGUCCAGCGGAAAAAGGCCACAAAAACGGGUGGGCUAUAGCCUUGGGGGGUGGGGCUGGCCAACUUCGUCCGCCGGACUCGGAAUGCCGCGAGACUUUGCGAGGGGCCUCAGUGUGCCAAAAAUAGGCCGUGGGCAAUACCGCGCCAAAAAAUAACCGCCCGAAGGCCGGGGCGCCAAGUAUCGUCCAGCGAAAAA
RNAcentral lists this long non-coding RNA (1376 nucleotides) under Citrus x clementina. RNAcentral's name for it is "Citrus clementina (C. clementina) long non-coding RNA (CCLE_LNC003734)". Lineage: Eukaryota; Viridiplantae; Streptophyta; Magnoliopsida; Sapindales; Rutaceae. The record is from RNAcentral.